GAAGGACUGUACUGCCUAACUCAAGGGUGAGGAUUUACUUUUGUAGAUAAUGAGGAUCCACCAAGCCUAAAGCAGAGGCACGAUCAGAUCUAUGUUACUAGAAUAUUCCUCUGAGCUGCCAAGAUAACAAUGAGAAUAAUUGGAAGAGCUGAGGGAACAGAGGAAGAGAGGUGAAGCUAGGAUCUCAGAAUGUAUCUGAAGAGUUGAGAAUUUACCAAGAUCUUAAGACAUACAGGCUUUGGCUCCUAAUUAGAUUACUCCGCAAAUGUUAAUUCACUUUCUUUUGUCUCUUCUCCCGCCUCAAUCUUGUUUAAGCCCAGAGUAAGCAGUUGAGUUGGAGCUAAUCAUUGACCAGGAUUUUGCAGAACCAGGGUGGCCUGGCACAGAUGCACUGAUGAGGGAUGAACUAAAAGCAGCUACAAGUGGCUGCAUCAUGAAGGAUCAAGGGCAGGCUGCAGCAACGGGCCAACACAAGGACGUCAUCUCACCAAGGGCUGCGUUUGAGGUAGGGCUACUCAAAUUAGGUGAAAGCCCUAAGAAUUGCCUGGUCUCUGGAGCAGCGUCAGCAAGGGACAGCUUCAUGCUGGGCAGGCUGACCAGGUGCUGGAAAGGUACAAGGCUUGGCAAUGAGGUUUGCAAUCCUGUUGGCAAUUUUCUACAACUUUUUAAACUGGGACAGCUUAAUUAG
Molecule: long non-coding RNA, 688 nt
Filed under: Bos grunniens (domestic yak)
Lineage: Eukaryota; Metazoa; Chordata; Mammalia; Artiodactyla; Bovidae
Description: lncRNA (ENSBGRG00000006885.1)
Source: RNAcentral